AAAGCUAGGGGCACGAACCGGGAUUAGAUACCCGGGUAGUCCUAGCCGUAAACGAUACUCGCUAGGUGUCGGCCACGGUGCGACCGUUGUCGGUGCGUAGGGAAGCCGUGAAGCGAGCCACUGGGAAGUACGGCCGCAAGGCUGAAGCUUAAAGGAAUUGGCGGGGGAGCACCACAACGGGUGGAGCUUGCGGUUUAAUUGGAUUCAACGCCGGAAAUCUUACCGGGACCGACAGCAAUAUGAAGGCCAGGCUGAAGACUUUGCCGGAUUAGCUGAGAGGUGGUGUAUGGCCGUCGUCAGUUCGUACUGUGAAGCAUCCUGUUAAGUCAGGCAACGAGCGAGACCCACGCCCACAGUUGCCAGCGUACUCUCUGGAGUGGCGGGUACACUGUGGGGACCGCCGCUGCUAAAGCGGAGGAAGGAAUGGGCAACGGUAGGUCAGUAUGCCCCGAAUAUCCCGGGCUACACGCGAGCUACAAUGGUUGGUACAAUGGGUAUCUACCCCGAAAGGGGACGGGAAUCUCCUAAAACCAAUCUUAGUUCGGAUUGAGGGCUGCAACUCGCCCUCAUGAAGCUGGAAUCCGUAGUAAUCGCGUUUCAACAGAACGCGGUGAAUACGUCCCUGCUCCUUGCACACACCGCCCGUCAAACCACCCGAGUAGGGUCUGAAUGAGAGCGCUUUCUUUGGAGGCGUUCGAAUUUGGGCUUUGCAAGGGGGGUU
This 721-nucleotide ribosomal RNA is filed under the name archaeon enrichment culture clone A1492D42. RNAcentral's name for it is "bacterial SSU rRNA". It matches the Rfam family "Archaeal small subunit ribosomal RNA", at positions 706 to 1429 of the family's 1478-position model. The record is from RNAcentral.